UGAUGAAGGAAGCAUGGUUGUGUGCACGAAAAUUGAUCUUAAUUGGUCAACGUGUCUACUCUCUCUGUUCGCUCAUGAUUUGAGGGCCUGGUUACUACCCGCAUUU
RNAcentral lists this small nucleolar RNA (106 nucleotides) under Lupinus albus (white lupine). RNAcentral's name for it is "Small nucleolar RNA snoR100". It matches the Rfam family "Small nucleolar RNA snoR100". Lineage: Eukaryota; Viridiplantae; Streptophyta; Magnoliopsida; Fabales; Fabaceae. The record is from Rfam by way of RNAcentral.